RNAcentral lists this ribosomal RNA (430 nucleotides) under uncultured bacterium. Its description in RNAcentral is "partial 16S ribosomal RNA". It matches the Rfam family "Bacterial small subunit ribosomal RNA", at positions 354 to 796 of the family's 1533-position model. The record is from RNAcentral.
GUGGGGAAUUUUGCACAAUGGGCGCAAGCCUGAUGCAGCAACGCCGCGUGAGGGAUGACGGCCUUCGGGUUGUAAACCUCUUUUAGUAGGGAAGAAGCGAAAGUGGCGGUACCUGCAGAAAAAGCACCGGCUAACUACGUGCCAGCAGCCGCGGUAAUACGUAGGGUGCAAGCGUUGUCCGGAAUUAUUGGGCGUAAAGAGCUCGUAGGCGGCUUGUCGCGUCUGCUGUGAAAUCCCGGAGCUCAACUCCGGGCCUGCAGUGGGUACGGGCAGGCUAGAGUGCGGUAGGGGAGAUUGGAAUUCCUGGUGUAGCGGUGGAAUGCGCAGAUAUCAGGAGGAACACCGAUGGCGAAGGCAGAUCUCUGGGCCGUAACUGACGCUGAGGAGCGAAAGCAUGGGGAGCGAACAGGAUUAGAUACCCCAGUAGUCC